GUCUCCUCUAGUUGUGGAGGGAGAUGGGUCUGGCUACUGGGAAGUGUAUCAGUGUCCAUGAGGUGCCUGACCUGGGGGGUCCCUGGGCCUGAUUUGCAGAUGUGCUGAGUGCUCCCAACUGCAGCCAAAGUCAAUCGGAGCUGGGCAUUGAACAUAUAACGUGCUAUACAGUGCUGUGCCCUCUGAAAAAUCAGGUCCUAGGUCUUUCAAAUUGGGCACCCAGAAUUAGCUGAGCAUUUCCCAUCGCAUUUCUUCUUUCACAGCUGAUUUUAAAGUGGGGACUAAUUGAUCGGCUUUGAGCCAAUGGUUCUGAUGGAGAAUAUUGAUUGGCAACGCAAACCUGACCUCCCAAAUUUGUCCACACACACUGCUACAGGAAAAUCUGCUAACCUUCGUGGGCCAGGAGUCAGUGCAGGAUUCUGAAUCCUCUGUGCACCUUCUUGCCCCCCACUCACCCAUAGACAGGUUCUGCCCCAGAUGUCCCUUGCCCAUUGCAUGUUCACUGGCUGGCAUAGACCUGUCAUGAGGAAUGGAGACAAGGUGAAGAGAGGGGACAGUUUCAACAGAUGAUCAAAAGGGGCAAUUCUGGUGAUUAAAGAUGGUUGUGCUCCUCGUUUUCCACAAUCACACAUCCCCAGCACACACAAAUACUGUAUAUUGCAUCAGAGUAAUACCUUCCUUUGUCCCUCUGUGGAAAUCUUGGCUGCAAAAUCUGCUUCAGACUACACGUGAAAUGAGUUCUGUCAGCUCAGUUUAAUCACUAAUGACUACUUCUCCACAUGGCUAUGCCACAGCAUAGCUACUACUCUUGGCAUAAAUGGCAGUCUGAGCAGAGGCCCAGGGGCUAGCAUAACGGGGUGGGAUGGGGCUGCGGAUCAGGAUGGGGGUGAACUGGUAGAACUGAUGGAUCCAGGACUAGAAUAGCAGAGAGUGCCACUGUGGCUUAAGAGUGAGCUGCAUUGGUGAAGCUGUGGGAAGCUGUAGGACUGGAAACACAGGGGGGAUCUGCACAUCUGGAUUGUGGCAAAGUUGUGGAAAGACAGUGGAGUGAAGAGCAGGGCUGGAAUAGCAGGGAUCACUACAGGUCAGGGCUGAGGUGUGUCAGAUAAGGACUGACGUGAAUUGCUUAACCUUUCAGGGCAGGGCUGGAACAGCAAAGGGUUCUGUGGG
Long non-coding RNA from Dermochelys coriacea (leatherback sea turtle), 1170 nucleotides. RefSeq lists it as uncharacterized. The transcript has 2 exons. The record is from RefSeq and is a predicted model, not a curated record. NCBI's taxonomy places the organism in Eukaryota, Metazoa, Chordata, Testudines, Dermochelyidae.